This 113-nucleotide Y RNA is filed under the name Saimiri boliviensis boliviensis (Bolivian squirrel monkey). RNAcentral's name for it is "Y RNA (ENSSBOG00000002540.1)". It matches the Rfam family "Y RNA". From Rfam's summary of the family: Y RNAs are components of the Ro ribonucleoprotein particle (Ro RNP), in association with Ro60 and La proteins. The Y RNAs and Ro60 and La proteins are well conserved, but the function of the Ro RNP is not known. Lineage: Eukaryota; Metazoa; Chordata; Mammalia; Primates; Cebidae. The record is from Rfam by way of RNAcentral.
GGCUGGUCUGAAGGUAAUGAGUUAUCUCAAUAGAUUAUUCACAGUCAUUUACAGAUCGAACUCCUUGUUGUGCUCUUCUCCUCCUUCUCACUACUGUACUUGACUAGUCUUAA